Molecule: ribosomal RNA, 468 nt
Filed under: Rhodotorula mucilaginosa
Lineage: Eukaryota; Fungi; Basidiomycota; Microbotryomycetes; Sporidiobolales; Sporidiobolaceae
Description: LSU rRNA
Rfam family: Eukaryotic large subunit ribosomal RNA
Source: RNAcentral
AAUCUGGCACCUUCGGUGUCCGAGUUGUAAUCUCUAGAAAUGUUUUCCGCGUUGGACCGCACACAAGUCUGUUGGAAUACAGCGGCAUAGUGGUGAGACCCCCGUAUAUGGUGCGGACGCCCAGCGCUUUGUGAUACAUUUUCGAAGAGUCGAGUUGUUUGGGAAUGCAGCUCAAAUUGGGUGGUAAAUUCCAUCUAAAGCUAAAUAUUGGCGAGAGACCGAUAGCGAACAAGUACCGUGAGGGAAAGAUGAAAAGCACUUUGGAAAGAGAGUUAACAGUACGUGAAAUUGUUGGAAGGGAAACGCUUGAAGUCAGACUUGCUUGCCGAGCAAUCGGUUUGCAGGCCAGCAUCAGUUUUCCGGGAUGGAUAAUGGUAGAGAGAAGGUAGCAGUUUCGGCUGUGUUAUAGCUCUCUGCUGGAUACAUCUUGGGGGACUGAGGAACGCAGUGUGCCUUUGGCGGGGGUUU